Molecule: long non-coding RNA, 276 nt
Organism: Cyprinus carpio carpio
Lineage: Eukaryota; Metazoa; Chordata; Actinopteri; Cypriniformes; Cyprinidae
Source: Ensembl
UCAGUAAUGUGUGUGUUUCUCCCCUUGGCUGUAUGGAAAUGGAGGUGGCCAUCAAUGUGGCUGCAGAAAGCUAGAGCCAGCACAAAGACAUCGGUGUCUGGGCUCUUGAUUACCAGGUCAUGGCUGUGUUUGGCUGCAAGGGCUGCAUGCAGUAUCAUUCUGGUGUCUGCCACCUCUUGACUUAUCUCUAGGUCUUUGAGUUCCAGUAUCUCAAGGCGGGUUGAUCUUAUCGAGCAAGAUGUGCAUCAGCUUAGCUUUGAUGGCUCUCUGGUCAAA